This 578-nucleotide ribosomal RNA is filed under the name Filobasidium magnum. RNAcentral's name for it is "eukaryotic LSU rRNA". It matches the Rfam family "Eukaryotic large subunit ribosomal RNA", at positions 67 to 617 of the family's 3401-position model. Lineage: Eukaryota; Fungi; Basidiomycota; Tremellomycetes; Filobasidiales; Filobasidiaceae. The record is from RNAcentral.
CCCUCGGCAUCCCUAGUACGGCGAGUGAGCGGGAAGAGCUCAAAUUUGAAAUCUGGUGGCCUCAGGUCAUCCGAGUUGUAAUCUAUAGAAGUGUUUUCCGUGCUGGCUCAUGUACAAGUCCCUUGGAACAGGGCGUCAUAGAGGGUGAGAAUCCCGUCCUUGACAUGAACUACCAGUGCUCUGUGAUACAUUUUCAACGAGUCGAGUUGUUUGGGAAUGCAGCUCAAAAUGGGUGGUAAAUUCCAUCUAAAGCUAAAUAUUGGCGAGAGACCGAUAGCGAACAAGUACCGUGAGGGAAAGAUGAAAAGCACUUUGGAAAGAGAGUUAAACAGUAUGUGAAAUUGUUGAAAGGGAAACGAUUGAAGUCAGUCGUGCUCUUUGGAUUCAGCCGGUUCUGCCGGUGUACUUCCUUUGAGUGGGGUCAACAUCAGUUUUGAUCGCUGGAUAAAGGCAGGAGGAACGUAGUACCCUCGGGUAAACUUAUAGCCUCUUGUCACAUACAGUGGUUGGGACUGAGGAACGCAGCACGCCUUUAUGGCCGGGAUUCGUCCACGUACGUGCUUAGGAUUGACUAGCCU